CCUACGGGUGGCUGCAGUGAGGAAUAUUGGUCAAUGGUCGCAAGGCUGAACCAGCCAAGUCGCGUGAGGGAUGACGGUCCUAUGGAUUGUAAACCUCUUUUGUCAGGGAGCAAAGGACGCCACGUGUGGCGUUUUGCGAGUACAUGAAGAAAAAGCAUCGGCUAACUCCGUGCCAGCAGCCGCGGUAAUACGGAGGAUGCGGGCGUUAUCGGGAUUUAUUGGGUUUAACGGGUGCGCAGGCGGAAUGUAAGGUCAGAGGUAAAGUUUCGGGGCUAAACCCCGUCGUGCCUUUGAAACUGGCGUUCUUGAGUGAGCGAGAAGUAUGCGGAAUGCGUGGUGUAGCGGUGAAAUGCAUAGAUAUCACGCAGAACUCCGAUUGCGAAGGCAGCAUACCGGCGCUUAAAUGACGCUCAUGCACGAAAGCGUGGGUAUCGAACAGGAUUAGAUACCCCUGUAGUC
Molecule: ribosomal RNA, 459 nt
Filed under: uncultured bacterium
Lineage: Bacteria
Description: partial 16S ribosomal RNA
Rfam family: Bacterial small subunit ribosomal RNA
Source: RNAcentral